AUUGAACUUCUUAAUGCUUUGGAUGUGGUCUUCAGCAUGUGACUUGUUUGUGAGGAGGAUAGUAAGGGUUUUUAUGUACUACAGAAAGAACCAUUAAUUGCUUUUCUAUGUCACAGACCUUUGGUGUUGGACCUGCGUACCUAAACAUGCAAGGCUGGAGGUUUACCUGCACUCUCAGAAGCUGUGUCUAUGCUAUGACCUUUAGAUGGCAGAGCUAUCAUGCUUGGAGAUGUAGAGAGCUUCAGAACUUGAGUUGGUAAAGGCUUAGUGAGCACCUAGAUGAGCUUCUCCAUGGGCAGACGUUGAUGGGUGGGUUGGAGGAACAUCUACGCCUGGCAGCACAGUGAACUGGAGAAGCUGUCCCAUGGUUGGGAUCACCUGGUGUAAUGACCAUACUGAUGGGAUGCUUCUGGGGUAAAGGCAACCAGGUGGAAGCACAUCCACAUUGAGAGUGGCUGCUGUUUUCAACGACAACGCCUGACUGACUUCACCUUCCAGCGGUGGAUGGGACAUCCUAAACCACAGGCUGAAUCCUGUUCCCUCACCCUUUGUGCACCAAAACCUGAUCUCCCCAUGCAGGAAGGGUUUCUGCUCUUUGCUGAUGUCUUUGUCCAGGCUGCAGCAGCUUCUGCUGUUUUCCUGCUUGUUUUACCAACCUCAGUAAUAAUGACCUGCUUUUAUUUUUUGUUUUCCCCUGGGUUAGCAACACCUCUUGGUUUAGCAACACCUGGAAAAGCAACUAAAGGCCUGCUCUGCCCAUCUCUACCCUCACAGCCUGGCUCGGCAUGCACCAGGAAUGGAUCGGAGUGGGAUGCUCUCAGCGUUGGUCCAGGGAACACUUUCUGGUCUGGUGAGCCGGGCUCUUCAAAGUGCAGACUCAACCUCAAAGCAUUUUUUUUCCAGCCUGCCUUUGCCUCCUGCCCUGAACCCAAGAGAUGUUUACAAAGGGAAGGCACAAAGGUGCUGUGACAGGGGAUGGAUAACUACUAUUUACCGCCUGGAUCCCAAGGCACACAUCACCAAGUCUGCAGCUAGCACUGCUCAAGCGAUGCAUUGUAUUCGCUAGCACAAGGAUGAUCCCAGCACGGACAAAAGAAAUCUCCCCCUGGGUCAAGAGAAGUGGAAGAUGAAAGAUGAGAGUGACACACGUGCCUAAUUUACCUUCAGGAGCAAUAUUUUGUGGGUCUUUGUAUGGGAAAAUGUGAGGCAUUGGUGAGGGCGCAUCUGGAAUAUCUCCUGCAGGCUGGAUCAGUCGUGUCCAUGAAUGAGGCAUUCAGAGCAGGCAGGUGCUGGGAAGUGCCAGGACAUGGGCAGGAGGAUGGAGAACUUGUCAUCCCAGGGCAGGCUGCAGAGCUGGGCCUUUUUUAGCUCAGCACAACAGCGGCGAGAGGGGAAACGAGUGCCGCCGCACACCAAAGGUAAAAAUAGCUGGGAGCAAAAAGAAACACUGGAGUGAAAGAAAAAAAAUGUUGGCACGAGAACAAGUAGGUUUUAAUUGGCCUGGAGUAAAUUUAGUCUGGAAAUUAGAUGAAGUUUCCUAAGCAUCAGAUCAGCAAAGUCCUGGAACAGACUUCCAGGGACUGUGAAAACAGGGCUUGCUCAGAUGACAAAUAGGUUUGUGUGUGGCAGCUCUGAGAACAGGAGCUCAGCGUGGUAAGCUGCAGGCCCAAACCCUGUGCACCCACAUUUCUGGGGAGAUAUAAAGAUAUAAAAAGCGAUAACAACAAGGUAGAGCUGCAAGGCAGCAGUGGUCGAUGCACAGGUGAAGAAAUACCCCACCAUGGGGAGCUGCCUGGUCCAUCUUCCUUGUAAGCUUGCAAGCUCUACCAAAUUUCUAAAAAAGUGAUUUUUUUUGCCUGAUUUGGAUGGUUGUAACCCACCUGCACUCUCUGUCAUUUCUUCCCUGCUGAGCUGCCAACCAGGUGAGAUACAAUCACACAAUUUUCUGGGAAAGAGAUGAAGACUGGGAAAAUCACUGCCUGGUCUGUUAAAUUGCAGCUGUGAUAAUCGGAUUAUCUGCUCCAUCCAGCAUUACCAAGAUAAGAGGCACACAAGCUGUGGACUUGGACAUGAGCUGCCCCACAGUUUGCUGAGGGCUUUGCAAAUCCAAGAUUUUGCUUCAAGUCCAUCUCCUGCAGAUGCCUCUCUGCCCACUUUAAACCAGUUGGAUGUGAUUGCCCACAGGACAAAAUCCCAGAAGCCAAGAAAAUGGAACCAGGAGCCUUAAAUGCAUCUUGAGAAGUGUCUUUGGCACCAAGAUGCCUGUUGACAGCCUGGGAGCCUCUGUGCAUGAAUGAUGUGCAGCUGGAGAGAGGGGCUGGGACAUGAGAAGGGGAAGUGCUCUGCUGCCCAGCUUGGCCCUCCCCAUCUCGGGGGUCUUCAGCCAACACGGUGAAGCUUAAGACUUCAUGAAAACGUGUGCUGUGUUCAGGUUCCCCCUCCUCCUUUCCAAGAAGAAAAAACCAAAACAACACAAAACAAAAAAAAGACCCCAAAUGACACAUUUCUAUCAGCAGGAAAAAUAUCACUCUGGGCAAAAACUAUAAUAUAGUCUAGCACCAGCAUAAACACAAGAAUGAUCCAUUCACCUUUCUUUAGUAAUAUCAAGAUGAAUUUUGGAGAAGAAACUAUGUGGUUCAGGUGCUUGUAUAACCCAUGCUGAUGGGCUCUAGCCCCACAACUCUCGAGGAUAGUGCCGUUCAUUUUCCUGCAAAGACUGUUGAUGAAUCUUCCCUUCCACAUUGCAGCCAACUCAUCCAAAUUCCUCAGUAAAUAUUGGUCCUGGUUGCUGUCUGCAAGGGGUAAAUCAGUGUCAUAAAUCAUCCCACGGAGUGUAGGGGGUGGAAGAGGAGUUUGAAAGAAGUAGAGAUGCUGUUGCAACACCAGAUGUCAACCCAAGGUAUCUCUGUCCCAUCUCCACAGUCCCCGUUUAAGCCACGCUUCCUUUGAUGGUCAUUUCUUAGGUCCUUCCCCACCAGGAUGCAGGACAUGGGUGAGAUAUCCGAGCUGGACACCCCUCUCCUCACCCACCCCAGUCCCCAGCUGGAUGGGUCUGAGUCCCCACAGAGCUUUUGAGCAGAGCAGUGAUUUCUCCAGAUGUCAUACACGGGAGAGCUGUGAAGAAUUCUGGUUUUUAGUGACUUGGUUGACUUGUCUCUGUGUGUCUUUGAUGUAAUUCAACCUCAGGGUGCUUCUCUCGCUGGUGUCUGACCGAGAGAGCUACAGGACUGCUUCCAGAAUUCCCUCCUCCCCCCAUUUAUCCUGUGCAGUCUGGAGCAGCAGGUCCCUGGAAAAGCCAUUGGAAAGCAAACUUGCUCUGGUGCCUACUAUAAAAUUUGGUUCUGUUCAGAUUAACUCUGAAUUCUAGACAUUCAAAACCAACGUGAGUGGUUUAAAAGCCAUUUAUCUGCACAGUGAUGAAAGGACAAAAUUCCUUGGCAAGGCUGGAGGCUCCCUUUCAUAUCUCAUAUACUUUAACUACCACAUUUACAAUGCCUGUAGUACCUUACUUUUUACAUUCUGUACUUGUUAUUUUCCACUUCUUCUGCAGCAGUCAGAGCACAUAAACCCACACUUACCUUCAUGAGGGAGGUGAGAUAUCAGUACCGAUUUGGAGAUCCAUGCUUUGGAUGAAUCAGCAGCACAACACCUCUCCUGGCAUUUCGUCAUUCCCUCUCCAACACACAUAGAUAGGAAUUUGAACACUGACUAUUGACUGUGGCUUCAUUUCAGCUCUUAUUCAACCAUAGGUGGGGGUUACUCGGGAGCCACUGGUCAGAUAUAUCCCUAGAUCCCUAGUGCAACACAGCUGGCUUUUAAAAAAAUACUACUUUAAUACUGUCUGGGCUGCUGUUCCCAUAUAAGACAAGAAAUUAAAAAGAGCUCCUGCACUGAAGAGCUUGCCUUGCUAUAGAUUGGUGGGUGUCUCCCCCUCUUCCCCCCCCCCCCCCAAACAAACAAACAAAAACAAUAAUAACAACAACAACAAAAAACAAACAAAUGAAAAAAAGGAAUGUUUGCAUUGAACAUGAAAGAUUCAUGUUUGUUUCUGGAAGGUCCCUGUCUAAAAAAGACCACAAAGCAAAGAAAAAGAAAAUGCAGAGGAAAUAAAGAUGAUGAAUGAAAGAGCUGAAUAGCGGGA
Molecule: long non-coding RNA, 4141 nt
Filed under: Anas platyrhynchos platyrhynchos (common mallard)
Lineage: Eukaryota; Metazoa; Chordata; Aves; Anseriformes; Anatidae
Description: lncRNA (ENSAPLG00000023751.1)
Source: RNAcentral